Non-coding RNA from Acanthosepion pharaonis, 113 nucleotides. The record is from the annotation of a GenBank genome assembly. NCBI's taxonomy places the organism in Eukaryota, Metazoa, Mollusca, Cephalopoda, Sepiida, Sepiidae.
UGACGGUCACAUCACGUUGAAAUACCGGUUCCCGUCCGAUCACAGAAGUUGAGCAACGUCGAGCCUGGUCAAUAGCUAGAAUGGUGACUGGUUGGGAAUACCAGGUACUGUAA